RNAcentral lists this ribosomal RNA (404 nucleotides) under uncultured bacterium. Its description in RNAcentral is "partial 16S ribosomal RNA". It matches the Rfam family "Bacterial small subunit ribosomal RNA", at positions 30 to 526 of the family's 1533-position model. The record is from RNAcentral.
AUUGAACGCUGGCGGCAGGCCUAACACAUGCAAGUCGAGCGAGCGGCGGACGGGUGAGUAAUGCCUGGGAAUUGCCCAGUCGAGGGGGAUAACAGUUAGAAACGACUGCUAAUACCGCAUACGAUUGGAUCGCCCAGGUGGGUUGAGCUAGUUGGUGGGGUAAUGGCUCACAAAGGCGACGAUCCCUAGCUGGUCUGAGAGGAUGAUCAGCAACACUGGAACUGGGACACGGUCCAGACUCCUACGGGAGGCAGUAGUGGGGAAUAUUGCACAAUGGGGGAAACCCUGAUGCAGCCAUGCCGCGUGUGUGAAGAAGGCCUUCGGGUUGUAAAGGCCUUUCAGCGAGGAGGCGUUACUCGCAGAAGAAGCACCGGCUAACUCCGUGCCAGCAGCCGCGGUAAUAC